Molecule: long non-coding RNA, 289 nt
Organism: Egretta garzetta (little egret)
Lineage: Eukaryota; Metazoa; Chordata; Aves; Pelecaniformes; Ardeidae
Exons: 3
Source: RefSeq, a predicted model, not a curated record
CUCACAGGCUCUUCUGCUUUAUUCACACCUAAUAUACAAGGAAGAGUCUCUAAAGUGAAUCUUUAUCAGAAGGACAAAGAUCUGGAAGAAAUUUGACAUUUGUGCUACGUUCAAGAUGACAAGUGAAGCAGUUCAGAUAGCCUCAAUGCAGACACCUGAAAAAGAUUCCAUGUGUCCAGGCAACGAUACUGGAGACUGCUGCCAGAAAAAAAGGAAAUACCAAAAUAAAGCAGAUGUUGUGUCCUGUACUGUUAUCUCAAGGUUUUGCAAGUCAUUCUGUUAUAUGCUU